GAUGAACGCUGGCGGCGUGCCUAAUACAUGCAAGUCGAGCGAACAGACGAGGAGCUUGCUCCUCUGACGUUAGCGGCGGACGGGUGAGUAACACGUGGAUAACCUACCUAUAAGACUGGGAUAACUUCGGGAAACCGGAGCUAAUACCGGAUAAUAUAUUGAACCGCAUGGUUCAAUAGUGAAAGACGGUUUUGCUGUCACUUAUAGAUGGAUCCGCGCCGCAUUAGCUAGUUGGUAAGGUAACGGCUUACCAAGGCAACGAUGCGUAGCCGACCUGAGAGGGUGAUCGGCCACACUGGAACUGAGACACGGUCCAGACUCCUAAGGGAGGCAGCAGUGGGGAAUCUUCCGCAAUGGGCGAAAGCUUGACGGAGCAACGCCGCGUGAGUGAUGAAGGUCUUCGGAUCGUAAAACUCUGUUAUUAGGGAAGAACAAAUGUGUAAGUAACCAUGGACGUCUUGACGGUACCUAAAGAGAAAGCCACGGCUAACUACGUG
This 497-nucleotide ribosomal RNA is filed under the name uncultured bacterium. Its description in RNAcentral is "partial 16S ribosomal RNA". It matches the Rfam family "Bacterial small subunit ribosomal RNA", at positions 28 to 507 of the family's 1533-position model. The record is from RNAcentral.